CAACAUCUAAAUAGUCCAUUCUGACUGCCCAUUAGUUUGAGGGUGAUAAGUAGUGUUGAAGUACAAGUUAGAGUUAAGAGCUUCUUGGAAGCUAUCCCAAAAGUGAGAAGUUAAAUGAAGAUAAGCAAGAACAUAAUGGAUUUAGACAAUCUCCUCAACAUAUAACUGGGCUAACUUAAUGGUUGAGUAUAUAGUCUUGAU
This 201-nucleotide long non-coding RNA is filed under the name Carica papaya (papaya). RNAcentral's name for it is "long non-coding RNA (CPAP_LNC011498)". Lineage: Eukaryota; Viridiplantae; Streptophyta; Magnoliopsida; Brassicales; Caricaceae. The record is from RNAcentral.